UUGCCAAAACAGCCUAUAUACCGCCGUCGCCAGCCCACCUCGUGAGAGCACAACAGUGAGCCCAACAGCCCACAGCCCACUAACAAGACAGGUCGAGGUAUAGCCUAUGAGGUGGAAGAAAUGGGCUACAUUUUCUAAAAUAGAAAACCCAACGAAAAGGGGCUUGAAACCUGCCCCCAGAAGGCGGAUUUAGCAGUAAAGUAGGA
This 206-nucleotide ribosomal RNA is filed under the name Ara macao (Scarlet macaw). RNAcentral's name for it is "partial 12S small subunit ribosomal RNA". Lineage: Eukaryota; Metazoa; Chordata; Aves; Psittaciformes; Psittacidae. The record is from RNAcentral.